CCCAUAGCGUAUAUUACAGUUGUUGCAGUUAAAAAGCUCGUAGUUGAAUUUCGGCAUUCUUUUAUCGGUUGAAUCAACAGGUUCGUACUGAUUUUAAGAAUUUCUACCUUCUGGAGAACCUUAAUGUCAUUUAUUUGAUGUUUUGGGAAACCAGGACUGUUACCUUGAAAAAAUUAGAGUGUUUAAAGCAGGCUUAUGUCUGAAUAUAUUAGCAUGGAAUAAUGAAAUAGGACGGCAUGGUUCUAUUUUGUUGGUUUCUAGGAUCACCGUAAUGAUUAAUAGGGAUAGUUGGGGGCAUUAGUAUUCAAUUGUCAGAGGUGAAAUUCUUGGAUUUAUUGAAGACUAACUUCUGCGAAAGCAUUUGCCAAGGAUGUUUUCAUUAAUCAAGAACGAAAGUUAGGGGAUCGAAGACGAUCAGAUACCGUCGUAGUCUUAACCAUAAACUAUGCCGACUAGGAAUCGGACGAAGUUAAUUUUUUAAUGACUCGUUCGGCGCCUUACG
RNAcentral lists this ribosomal RNA (502 nucleotides) under uncultured Glomeromycotina. RNAcentral's name for it is "partial small subunit ribosomal RNA". It matches the Rfam family "Eukaryotic small subunit ribosomal RNA", at positions 591 to 1092 of the family's 1831-position model. The record is from RNAcentral. Lineage: Eukaryota; Fungi; Glomeromycota.